RNAcentral lists this ribosomal RNA (476 nucleotides) under uncultured Blastocladiomycota. Its description in RNAcentral is "bacterial SSU rRNA". It matches the Rfam family "Eukaryotic small subunit ribosomal RNA", at positions 624 to 1108 of the family's 1831-position model. Lineage: Eukaryota; Fungi; Blastocladiomycota. The record is from RNAcentral.
AAGCUCGUAGUUGAAUUUCGGACUUUGCACUAUUGUCGGCCUCAGUGGUUUGUGCUCUAGCUGCUUUGUCCUUUUUUCUAGUAAGGCUAGAUGCCCUUCGUCGGGUGUCUAGAAGGACUAGGACUUUUACUUUGAAGAAAUUAGAGUGUUUAAGGCAGGCUUAUGCUUGAAUAUAUUAGCAUGGAAUAAUAGAAUAGGACUUUGGUUCUAUUCUGUUGGUUGAAGGACCAAAGUAAUGAUUAAUAGGGUCAGUUGGGGGUAUUUGUAUUUCGAGGUCAGAGGUGAAAUUCUUGGAUUCUCGGAAGACAAACUAAUGCGAAAGCAUCUACCAAGGAUGUUUUCAUUAAUCAAGAACGAAAGUUAGGGGAUCGAAGACGAUCAGAUACCGUCGUAGUCUUAACCAUAAACUAUGCCGACUAGGGAUUGGUGGAUGUUGUUAUUGACGCAUCAGCACCUUAUGAGAAAUCAAAGUUUUU